GUUGGUGAACCAGCGGAAGGAUCAUUACC
RNAcentral lists this ribosomal RNA (29 nucleotides) under Coccocarpia erythroxyli. RNAcentral describes it as "partial 18S ribosomal RNA". Lineage: Eukaryota; Fungi; Ascomycota; Lecanoromycetes; Peltigerales; Coccocarpiaceae. The record is from RNAcentral.